UACUCUUGGUGGUGGAUCACCUGGCUUGUGCGUCGAUGAAGGAUGCAGCUAGCUCCGAGAUCUAAUAUGAAUUGCAGGACACAUUGAUCAUUGACACUUUGAAUGCACCUUGCGGCCUCAGGUCACUCCUGGGGCCAUGAUUGUCUGACGGUCA
This 154-nucleotide ribosomal RNA is filed under the name Erpetoichthys calabaricus (reedfish). Its description in RNAcentral is "5.8S ribosomal RNA (ENSECRG00000003181.1)". It matches the Rfam family "5.8S ribosomal RNA". From Rfam's summary of the family: 5.8S ribosomal RNA (5.8S rRNA) is a component of the large subunit of the eukaryotic ribosome. It is transcribed by RNA polymerase I as part of the 45S precursor that also contains 18S and 28S rRNA. Lineage: Eukaryota; Metazoa; Chordata; Cladistia; Polypteriformes; Polypteridae. The record is from RNAcentral.